Molecule: ribosomal RNA, 129 nt
Filed under: Ascomycota sp. A54
Lineage: Eukaryota; Fungi; Ascomycota
Description: partial 5.8S ribosomal RNA
Rfam family: 5.8S ribosomal RNA
About the family: 5.8S ribosomal RNA (5.8S rRNA) is a component of the large subunit of the eukaryotic ribosome.
Source: RNAcentral
GCAUCGAUGAAAGAACGCAGCGAAAUGCGAUAAGUAAUGUGAAUUGCAGAAUUCAGUGAAUCAUCGAAUCUUUGAACGCACAUUGCGCCCAUUAGUAUUUCUAGUGGGCAUGCCUAUUCGAGCGUCAUU